RNAcentral lists this unclassified non-coding RNA (375 nucleotides) under Commiphora leptophloeos. RNAcentral's name for it is "partial external transcribed spacer". The record is from RNAcentral. Lineage: Eukaryota; Viridiplantae; Streptophyta; Magnoliopsida; Sapindales; Burseraceae.
UUUCGGUAUCCUGUGUUGCUUACCUAUCGAAAGGAACCCGACGGUCUCGCUCGUCCCCCUCCGCCCCCGGCCCUCGCGGGUUGUGGGGUGGACGUGAGGCACGCACCGUGUUCCCGGCAAGCCUCGUCGAGUCGCUUGGCCGCCUCGGCCCACGGUGUGCUAUGCCCGUUCUCUCGGAUGCGGAACGUCAUGCGCGGGCGUGGGGUCUGUCACAGACUCCGUUUGCCCGAGCAACGCAUUUUGUCCCUCGACGCGAACGACCGUCGUGCCCGUCUUGAGCCCGCGGCCUCACGGCCCGUCGGGCGUCAUGCGGGCGUCGGCGUCGCGAAGGAACGCUACCUGGUUGAUCCUGCCAGUAGUCAUAUGCUUGUCUCA